Molecule: unclassified non-coding RNA, 200 nt
Filed under: soil metagenome
Description: partial contains internal transcribed spacer 2 and large subunit ribosomal RNA
Source: RNAcentral
CGUCAUUUCAACCCUCAAGCUCUGCUUGGUGUUGGGGCCCUACGGCUGCCGUAGGCCCUGAAAGAAGUGGCGGGCUCGCUACAACUCCGAGCGUAGUAAUCUAUUAUCUCGCUAGGGAAGUGUGGCGUGCUCCUGCCGUUAAAGACCCCAUCUUUAACAAGGUUGACCUCGGAUCAGGUAGGAAUACCCGCUGAACUUAA